CCUACGGGUGGCAGCAGUGGGGGAUAUUGCACAAUGGGGGUAACCCUGAUGCAGCGACGCCGCGUGGGUGAAGAAGCGCCUCGGCGCGUAAAGCCCUGUCAGCAGGGAAGAAAAUGACGGUACCUGAAGAAGAAGCCCCUGCUAACUACGUGCCAGCAGCCGUGGGAAAAAGUAGGGGGCAAGCGUUAUCCGGAUUGACUGGGUGUAACGGGGGCGCAGACGGCGGUGCAAGCGAGGCGGGAAAGCCCGGGGCCCAACCCCGGGACUGCUCUUGGAACUGCGUGGCUGGAGGGCAGGAGGGGCUGGCGGAAUUCCUGGUGUAGCGGUGAAAUGCGUAGAUAUCAGGAGGAACACCGGUGGCGAAGGCGGCCUGCUGGACUGCAACUGACGUUGAGGCCCGAAAGCGUGGGGAGCAAACAGGAUUAGAUACCCCGGUAGUC
This 440-nucleotide ribosomal RNA is filed under the name uncultured bacterium. RNAcentral describes it as "partial 16S ribosomal RNA". It matches the Rfam family "Bacterial small subunit ribosomal RNA", at positions 338 to 795 of the family's 1533-position model. The record is from RNAcentral.